CCUACGGGAGGCAGCAGUAGGGAAUUUUCCGCAAUGGGCGAAAGCCUGACGGAGCAAUACCGCGUGAGGGAUGACGGCCUGUGGGUUGUAAACCUCUUUUCUCAAGGAAGAAGUUCUGACGGUACUUGAGGAAUAAGCAUCGGCUAACUCUGUGCCAGCAGCCGCGGUAAUACAGAGGAUGCAAGCGUUAUCCGGAAUUACUGGGCAUAAAGCGUCUGUAGGUGGUUUGGUAAGUCUGCUGUUAAAGACUGGGGCUCAACCCCAGAAAAGCAGUGGAAACUGCCAGACUUGAGUGUGGUAGAGGUAGAAGGAAUUCCUAGUGUAGCGGUGAAAUGCGUAGAUAUUAGGAAGAACACCAAUGGCGAAGGCAUUCUACUGGACCAUAACUGACACUGAGAGACGACAGCUAGGGGAGCAAAUGGGAUUAGAUACCCCAGUAGUCCUAGCCGUAAACGAUGGAUACUAGAUGUUGCACGUAUUAACCCGUGCAGUAUCGUAGCUAAGGCGUUAAGUAUCCCGCCUGGGAAGUACGCUCGCAAGAGUGAAACUCAAAAUGAAUUGACCGGNNGAGAGNGCGAGACGACACGAGGAGAG
Molecule: ribosomal RNA, 594 nt
Filed under: uncultured bacterium
Lineage: Bacteria
Description: bacterial SSU rRNA
Rfam family: Bacterial small subunit ribosomal RNA
Source: RNAcentral